Molecule: ribosomal RNA, 1243 nt
Filed under: Staphylococcus pseudintermedius
Lineage: Bacteria; Bacillati; Bacillota; Bacilli; Caryophanales; Staphylococcaceae
Description: bacterial SSU rRNA
Rfam family: Bacterial small subunit ribosomal RNA
Source: RNAcentral
UUUAUGGAGAGUUUGAUCCUGGCUCAGGAUGAACGCUGGCGGCGUGCCUAAUACAUGCAAGUCGAGCGAACAGAUAAGGAGCUUGCUCCUUUGACGUUAGCGGCGGACGGGUGAGUAACACGUGGGUAACCUACCUAUAAGACUGGAAUAACUCCGGGAAACCGGGGCUAAUGCCGGAUAACAUGUUGAACCGCAUGGUUCUACAGUGAAAGACGGUCUUGCUGUCACUUAUAGAUGGACCCGCGCCGUAUUAGCUAGUUGGUGGGGUAACGGCCUACCAAGGCGACGAUACGUAGCCGACCUGAGAGGGUGAUCGGCCACACUGGAACUGAGACACGGUCCAGACUCCUACGGGAGGCAGCAGUAGGGAAUCUUCCGCAAUGGGCGAAAGCCUGACGGAGCAACGCCGCGUGAGUGAUGAAGGUCUUCGGAUCGUAAAGCUCUGUUGUUAGGGAAGAACAAAUGUGUAAGUAACUGUGCACAUCUUGACGGUACCUAACCAGAAAGCCACGGCUAACUACGUGCCAGCAGCCGCGGUAAUACGUAGGUGGCAAGCGUUAUCCGGAAUUAUUGGGCGUAAAGCGCGCGUAGGCGGUUUUUUAAGUCUGAUGUGAAAGCCCACGGCUCAACCGUGGAGGGUCAUUGGAAACUGGAAAACUUGAGUGCAGAAGAGGAAAGUGGAAUUCCAUGUGUAGCGGUGAAAUGCGCAGAGAUAUGGAGGAACACCAGUGGCGAAGGCGGCUUUCUGGUCUGCAACUGACGCUGAUGUGCGAAAGCGUGGGGAUCAAACAGGAUUAGAUACCCUGGUAGUCCACGCCGUAAACGAUGAGUGCUAAGUGUUAGGGGGUUUCCGCCCCUUAGUGCUGCAGCUAACGCAUUAAGCACUCCGCCUGGGGAGUACGGUCGCAAGACUGAAACUCAAAGGAAUUGACGGGGACCCGCACAAGCGGUGGAGCAUGUGGUUUAAUUCGAAGCAACGCGAAGAACCUUACCAAAUCUUGACAUCCUUUGACCGCUCUAGAGAUAGAGUUUUCCUCUUCGGAGGACAAAGUGACAGGUGGUGCAUGGUUGUCGUCAGCUCGUGUCGUGAGAUGUUGGGUUAAGUCCCGCAACGAGCGCAACCCUUGAACUUAGUUGCCAUCAUUCAGUUGGGCACUCUAAGUUGACUGCCGGUGACAAACCGGAGGAAGGUGGGGAUGACGUCAAAUCAUCAUGCCCCUUAUGAUUUGGGCUACACACGUGC